GACGGGUUAGGCUUCCGGCGUGGGCCGUGUGGCGUCUCCCAGCUCCACGCGUUUCUGGGCGCCGGGCACUAGGCGAGCCGGCCGGGCUGGCGCGAGGCCGCAGGCGGGGAGAGUUCCCGGGGUCGGCCUCGAAGCAGCUCUGGAGGCGGUAGCCGGGGACGCCGCGGUCAGGGAGGAGGCCGAUCCAAGCGCGGCCCCGCAGGGCCGUGUCCGUUCUCCCGCCUCGGCCGGUCCCGUCGGGCCGCCUUUAAGUGCCCGACGCCUCGCACUUGCUAACAAAACGAGCUCCUGCUGUUCCCCAGCUCCGUAAAUGGCGCCCCUGGCCCUCCCCAGUUCUCAGGCAGAGCCUUGGCGGCCUCCCUGACCCCAACACACCGCAUCCAGCCCGGCAGUACAUCCUGUUGGCUGUGCCUUCGAAAUUUCCCCAGACCUGACCUCUUCUCCCACCUCUGCCACCACCCUGCUCCGAGCCGUCUUUUCCCGCCGAGAUGACUGCAGUAGCGUCUCAGCUGGGUCUCCCCGCUUCCACCUUCCCCUCCAGAGUCUCCUCAACACAGGAGCCAGAGUGAUCUCGGAAAGUACAGGAGGUCAUGCCCCAGUGUGGUUCCACUUUCUUGGGUUUAGGUCAAGGUCCUCACCGUGCCUGCCGGCCUCCCGGGUCUCUGCGCGGUGGACUCUGGACCUCCCUGCCCCGUACUGCCUCAGGGCCUUUGCACCUGCUGUUCCCGCGGCCUGGAACGCUCCUCCCCUGAAACCCUGUGACUCCCACUUAGUGAGGCGACCACCUAUUGAAAACCGUGCCGCCUUCCUAUACAGAUGCUCCUGUCAUAUGGGGUUAGAUUCCACAUUAACCCAUCAUAGGUUAAAGCAUUGUAAGGCAAUUUACGGUGGGUUUAUCCGAAUGUAACCCCAUCUGUAAGCGGAGGAGUAUACUGAAUGUGUAUGGCGUUUGUACCGUGGCAAAGCCAAAAUGUAAGUCAAACUCGAAGUCCA
RNAcentral lists this long non-coding RNA (993 nucleotides) under Pongo abelii (Sumatran orangutan). RNAcentral describes it as "lincRNA". Lineage: Eukaryota; Metazoa; Chordata; Mammalia; Primates; Hominidae. The record is from RNAcentral.